AUGGUGAUGAUGUCUCCAUGUACAUGGGCAUUCUUGGAAUCCUGUAAGUGCCGGAGAGUUGCCCGUGUGGCUUGGUCUGUUUUCAUGAGCCUACAGCCAGAGUCAAGGCCGUGGUGGUCAAAUUCCAUGGGGCAAUACAGUUUUCUCAAUUCCUGUUUCUCUGAGUCUAUCAUGGGGAAAAUGAUGAAUCCGGUAGGAGCCAAGGAGAUCUGGCGCAACUUCUGGCAUACCAAGAACGUUCAGAUCACAGCAGAGAUCAAGAAUGUCAUCUUUGAAACUAAGCAUCAUCCUGGGUUACUUAGCGGUGGUACAAGCCCGUCACCAGGCCUUGGUCCAGCAUUGGACACAAUCCCUCGGGGACUAGCCGCAACAUCACGGAGAAGAGGCGUCAGCUUAUGGAUACACGCAGGGGGAAUAUCUGAAUACAUGAUUUACCAUGGACAUCAGCAACAUAGGCGAUGUACUGAAGGAAGCUUCGGAGAGCGUGGCCAACGCUAG
RNAcentral lists this ribosomal RNA (498 nucleotides) under Triticum aestivum (bread wheat). RNAcentral describes it as "partial small subunit ribosomal RNA". The record is from RNAcentral. Lineage: Eukaryota; Viridiplantae; Streptophyta; Magnoliopsida; Poales; Poaceae.